AAAUUGAAGAGUUUGAUCAUGGCUCAGAUUGAACGCUGGCGGCAGGCCUAACACAUGCAAGUCGAACGGUAACAGGAAACAGCUUGCUGUUUCGCUGACGAGUGGCGGACGGGUGAGUAAUGUCUGGGAAACUGCCUGAUGGAGGGGGAUAACUACUGG
This 159-nucleotide ribosomal RNA is filed under the name Escherichia coli. RNAcentral describes it as "partial 16S ribosomal RNA". It matches the Rfam family "Bacterial small subunit ribosomal RNA", at positions 1 to 153 of the family's 1533-position model. RNAcentral also lists the same sequence under 2 other names. Lineage: Bacteria; Pseudomonadati; Pseudomonadota; Gammaproteobacteria; Enterobacterales; Enterobacteriaceae. The record is from RNAcentral.